CGCUGGAGUAGGCUUAACAAAGAUCGUCUUCAUCGUCGGAGCAGGGUAUACUUGUACUUUGUUGUUUAAAAACGGAAAAUUAUCGGAUGUGAUAGGCGAGCUUCAGAAUUUGGUCAAAAGUUAUGAAAAGACAGGGGAAUCAGAUGGUGGAGAUUCGGAUGUCAUUGCUGCACAGGU
This is a long non-coding RNA of Solanum stenotomum, 177 nucleotides long. RefSeq lists it as uncharacterized. The transcript has 3 exons. The record is from RefSeq and is a predicted model, not a curated record. Lineage: Eukaryota; Viridiplantae; Streptophyta; Magnoliopsida; Solanales; Solanaceae.